GUCCACGCCUAACGAUGUCAACUGGUUGUUGGGUCUUCACUGACUCAGUAACGAAGCUAACGCGUGAAGUUGACCGCCUGGGAGUACGGCCGCAAGGUUGAACUCAAGGAAUUGACGGGACCCGCACAAGCGGUGGAUGAUGUGGUUUAAUUCGAUGCAACGCGAAACCUUAACCCACCUUUGACAUGUACGGAAUUCGCCAGAGAUGGCUUAGUGCUCGAAAGAGAACCGUAACACAGGUGCUGCAUGGCUGUCGU
This 257-nucleotide ribosomal RNA is filed under the name uncultured bacterium. RNAcentral's name for it is "partial 16S ribosomal RNA". It matches the Rfam family "Bacterial small subunit ribosomal RNA", at positions 793 to 1055 of the family's 1533-position model. The record is from RNAcentral.